GGUCUGUUCUGUGAGCGCUCAGCCAGGUUGUUUGGAAUUUGGGUGGGACGAAGAAGGAGCUGACGAGCUCGGACUUCUCGCCCCGCAGCCCUGGAAGACGUUCCAAGGGUGUUGGGGCCCGACUUUUCGGGGCCCAAUCUGGGAGAGGAGAAAGAUCCGGACUAACGGCACCUCUGUCUGUAUUUUUGGCUUUCAGAGGGCCCCGGACCUUUGCCACCUCCAUCUGACUUUUUGCUUUCAGUUUGGUACCAACGCCGUGCAGCACGCCUGUCUGUUGUUUGUUUGACUGUUGGUGUUGUUUGUUUUCUCUGUGUCCUAAUCUUCCUUAGAACUAACAUGGGACAGUCCCUAACAAUGCCCCUAAGUCUCACUCUUGAUCAUUGGGAAGACGUCCACGACCGGGCACACAACCAGUCCGUCGAGGUUAAAAAAAAAAAAAAAGGAAAAUGGCAGACUCUCUGCACAUCCGAGUGGCCCACUUUCGGAGCGGGAUGGCCAGUGAAUGACACAUUUAAUAAGAUCAUUAUUUUACAGGUUAAAGAUUGGGUCGUCCACGGACAUCCUGACCAGGUUUCUUAUAUUAUCACUUGAGAGAGUCUCGCCUUAAACCCCCCCCCCUGGGCGGAACCCUUCGUGGACCCGAAUUGGCCUCCCCUCAACCCCCAGCCUGUCCCCUCGGCCCCGCCCGGUCCGCCUGCCACGUCUUCCUCUCUCUACCUUUGUGAAAUCAGAGCCUUCUAAAAAAACCUGUCCUCCCGGCAGACCCAAACUCCCCUCUCAUAGAUCUUCUCUCUGACAGGCCCGGCUAAAACAGAGGAGGCAGAGCCGCCGGCCAGAUCAGUUGCCGGGCCACAGUCUGAUAAGGGUUUCUCCCCUGUCGCAGGGAGAUUGCGCAAUAAGCGCGAGGUGAUGCCAGAUACAACCUCCCAGGAUUUCCCACUUAGACAGGGAACCGGUGGCCAGACCCAAUACUGGCCGUUUUCAGCAGCUGACAUUUACAAUUGGAAACAACACAACCCUUCUUUCUCCAAAGAUCCGGUGGCACUCACUGACCUAAUAGAAUCUGUUUUACUUACCCACCAGCCUACUUGGGAUGACUGCCAACAGCUCUUACAGGCCCUCUUAACCUCAGGAAAAAAAAAAAAAAAACAAAGAGUGUUCCUAGAGGCCAAAAAGCAUGUUCUGGGAGAUGAUGGGCGUCCCACCCAGCUGCCUGAGGACCAAACUGGGAUUUUAAUACAGCUGAAGGUAAGGGACACCUAUGCCUUUAUCGCCAGUUGCUUCUAGCGGGUCUCCGAGGGGCUAUACGACGCCCUACUAAUUUGGCUCAGGUAAAACAGGUAUUACAGGAAGCAGGGGAAACUCCCUCCGCCUUUCUAGAGAGACUUAAGGAGGCCUACCGUAUGUACACUCCCUAUGACCCAGAUGACCCAGGACAAAUGACGAGUGUCUCUAUGUCCUUCAUCUGGCAGGCUGCUCCAGAUAUCAGGACUAAGUUACAGAGGUUAGAAAAUUUACAGGGCUAUACAUUACAGGAUUUACUUAAAGAAGCUGAAAAGAUUUUUAAUAAGAGAGAGAUAAAAAAAAAAAAACAAAGAAUUGAGUCGAAUCUUGGACGCCGUAGUUCAGGGCCAAGAAAGGAAGGGAGAUAGGGGGGGAGCUCGAAAGGGGCUGAAGCUGGAUAAAGAUCAAUGUGCCUAUUACAAAGAGAAAGGGCACUGGGCCAGAGAGUGCCCCAAGAAGCCUGGCGGACCCCGAAAGCCUCGACCACGAACCUCCCUCUUGGCUCUAGAUAAAGAUUAGGGAGGUCAGGGCCAGGAGCCCCCCCUGAGCCCAGGGUAACGCUUAAAGUUGGGGGGCAGCCGGUUACUUUCCUGGUAGACACAGGAGCCCAGCAUUCAGUCCUCACCCAAGCUUCAGGACAACUCAGCGACCGGACGGCCUGGGUACAAAGAGCUACUGGUGAGAAACAAUACCGAUGGACUACAGACCGCCGGGUUCAGCUGGCUACCGGUAAGGUGACCCAUUCCUUCUUACAUGUUCCGGACUGCCCGUACCCUCUGCUGGGCCGUGAUCUGCUCACCAAACUAAAAGCACAAAUUCAUUUUGAGGAAGGAGGGGCCCAAAUAACUGGCCCCCACGGAACUCCCCUUCAAGUUCUAACCCUAUAAACCGGGACAGGACACUGGCUUGGGCAGAGACUGGUGGGAUGGGGUUGGCGCUCCAACAGCCCCCCUUAAUUACAACUCCAGUCUCCAUAAAACAAUACCCCCUGUCACAUGAAGCUUAUCAAGGUAUAAGGCCUCACAUUACGAGGCUUCUAGAUCAAGACAUCCUAAUCCCCUGCCGGUCGCCUUGAAAUACGCCUCUUCUGCCUGUUAAGAAACCCGGCACUGGAGAUUAUAGGCCAGUACAAGACUUGAGAAAGGUCAACAAGAGGAUAGAAGAUAUUCAUCCGACUGUUCCAAACCCUUACAAUUUGCUCAGUAACUGUUCAUCGAUGAGAAACAGGGGUAUGCUAAAGGGGUCCUAACACAAAGGUUGGGACUCUGAAAACGCCCUGUGGCCUACCUGUCUAAGAAAUUGGACCCUGUGGCCUCCGGCUGGCCACCGUGCCUAAAGAUGGUGGCUACUAUUGCUGUCCUGAUCAAGGACGCUGGAAAAUUGACUUUGGGACAGCCACUCACCAUCCUAGCACCCCACGCAGUGGAGGCCUUGGUAAAACAGCCCCCAGACCGCUGGCUCUCUAAUUCUCACACCAAGCCUUGUUACUGGAUGCAGAACGGGUUCAGUUUGGGCCCGUAGUCGCCCUCAAUCCUGCCACCUUGCUUCCUCUACCAGAGGAGGCAAAACAGCAUGACUGCCUACAAAUCCUCGCAGAAGUACAUGGAACCAGGCCGGACCUAUUGGACCAGCCUCUUUAGAAUGCUGACCACACAUGGUACACGGAUGACAACAGCUUCUUGGCAGAGGGAGAGCGAAAGGCUGGAGCUGCGGUCACUACGGAGGACAAAGUGAUUUGGGCGAAAGCCCUGCCUGCUGGUACCUCCGCACAACGGGCUGAACUCAUCGCCUUGACUCAGGCGUUCAAGAUGACAAAAGCCCUUCUCUGAGGGCCCAUUUACAGGCCCUACAGAUUGUGCAGAGAGACGUCUGGAGACCUUUGGCCGCUGCUUACCAGGACAAGCUUGAGCAUCCGGUGGUGCCACACCCGUUCCAGAUUGGAGACACCGUGUGGGUGCACAGACACCAGACCAAGAAUCUGGAGCCACGGUGGAAAGGACCCUACACCGUCCUCCUGACUACCCCGACCGCCCUAAAGGUAGACGGAGUCUCGGCUUAGAUCCACGCACCACACGUCAAGGCAGUCCGGUCUGAGGAAUUGACUAAUCACAACACUACACCCCAGACAUGGAGAGUUCAGCGCACUCCAAACCCCUUAAAGUUAAAACUCCUACGUGGCUCCUCCUAGCCCUUUUGUGGCCUAGAGUCAGUGGGGGAAUAAGCCCCCACCAGACAGAAAUUUCUUGACCAAGUCGAGUGAAAGAUUUCACUCAAAGUUAACAAAAAAAAAAUGGGGGAAUGAAAGACCCCAGCUUAGCAGCAGUAACGCCAUUUUGGAAGGCUGUACUUAAGAUGACUGGUUCAGGGAAAGGUUAGAACACUGAGUACACAGCGGCUGCCAAGCAGGAUGUGUUUGGUUGAAGGCCUGGCAACAGGACGACUUCGGUUGAGCACCUGACAAUGAAAAAAAAAGCCCCGGGAGAGGUCCCACACCCUGGUGGGGGGCCGAGUCAGUCGUUAUGUUCCAAGAAGGUAGCUAAGAAACUUGCCCCCGGGCUGAACCCUUGGGGGGCCGAGUCAGCCGUUAUGUUUCAGGAAGGUAGCUAGGAAACUUGCCCCCGGGCUAAACCCUUGUCAUAUUAGAAUCCACCAAUUAUAUCCCUGUAACCAUGCAUCUGCUUCUGUAUGCUUGCUUCUGCUCCCCAAAAUCCUAUAAAAGCCCAUCCUUGGUUCCGUGGGGCGCGCCAGUCCCCCGAGUGACUGAAGUGCCCGCAGGUGCCUGUGCCUGUGUAUCCCGACAAUAAACCAAAUCCUCUUGCUGAUUGCA
Molecule: non-coding RNA, 4111 nt
Organism: Rattus norvegicus (Norway rat)
Lineage: Eukaryota; Metazoa; Chordata; Mammalia; Rodentia; Muridae
Source: RefSeq, a predicted model, not a curated record